AAGGGAGCUUGCUCCCUGAUUCAGCGGCGGACGGGUGAGUAAUGCCUAGGAAUCUGCCUGGUAGUGGGGGACAACGUCUCGAAAGGGACGCUAAUACCGCAUACGUCCUACGGGAGAAAGCAGGGGACCUUCGGGCCUUGCGCUAUCAGAUGAGCCUAGGUCGGAUUAGCUAGUUGGUGAGGUAAUGGCUCACCAAGGCGACGAUCCGUAACUGGUCUGAGAGGAUGAUCAGUCACACUGGAACUGAGACACGGUCCAGACUCCUACGGGAGGCAGCAGUGGGGAAUAUUGGACAAUGGGCGAAAGCCUGAUCCAGCCAUGCCGCGUGUGUGAAGAAGGUCUUCGGAUUGUAAAGCACUUUAAGUUGGGAGGAAGGGCAUUAACCUAAUACGUUGGUGUUUUGACGUUACCGACAGAAUAAGCACCGGCUAACUCUGUGCCAGCAGCCGCGGUAAUACAGAGGGUGCAAGCGUUAAUCGGAAUUACUGGGCGUAAAGCGCGCGUAGGUGGUUUGUUAAGUUGGAUGU
RNAcentral lists this ribosomal RNA (527 nucleotides) under Pseudomonas sp. Z2NS-260. RNAcentral's name for it is "bacterial SSU rRNA". It matches the Rfam family "Bacterial small subunit ribosomal RNA", at positions 72 to 595 of the family's 1533-position model. The record is from RNAcentral. Lineage: Bacteria; Pseudomonadati; Pseudomonadota; Gammaproteobacteria; Pseudomonadales; Pseudomonadaceae.